This 365-nucleotide ribosomal RNA is filed under the name Escherichia coli. RNAcentral's name for it is "partial 23S ribosomal RNA". It matches the Rfam family "Bacterial large subunit ribosomal RNA", at positions 1 to 393 of the family's 2925-position model. Lineage: Bacteria; Pseudomonadati; Pseudomonadota; Gammaproteobacteria; Enterobacterales; Enterobacteriaceae. The record is from RNAcentral.
GGGUUGUGAGGUUAAGCGACUAAGCGUACACGGUGGAUGCCCUGGCAGUCAGAGGCGAUGAAGGACGUGCUAAUCUGCGAUAAGCGUCGGUAAGGUGAUAUGAACCGUUAUAACCGGCGAUUUCCGAAUGGGGAAACCCAGUGUGUUUCGGCACACUAUCAUUAACUGAAUCCAUAGGUUAAUGAGGCGAACCGGGGGAACUGAAACAUCUAAGUACCCCGAGGAAAAGAAAUCAACCGAGAUUCCCCCAGUAGCGGCGAGCGAACGGGGAGGAGCCCAGAGCCUGAAUCAGUGUGUGUGUUAGUGGAAGCGUCUGGAAAGGCGCGCGAUACAGGGUGACAGCCCCGUACACAAAAAUGCACAUA